GACGAACCGUGCGAACGUUGUUCGGAUUCACUGGGCUUAAAGGGCGCGUAGGCGGGCGGUCAAGUCAGGGGUGAAAUCUUUCGGCUCAACCGGAAAAGUGCCUUUGAUACUGGCCGUCUCGAGGGUGGUAGGGGCAUGCGGAACUUCCGGUGGAGCGGUGAAAUGCGUUGAGAUCAGAAGGAACGCCGGUGGCGAAAGCGGCGGACUGGAUCUCUUCUGACGCUGAGGCGCGAAAGCUAGGGGAGCAAACGGG
RNAcentral lists this ribosomal RNA (253 nucleotides) under uncultured bacterium. RNAcentral describes it as "partial 16S ribosomal RNA". It matches the Rfam family "Bacterial small subunit ribosomal RNA", at positions 524 to 776 of the family's 1533-position model. The record is from RNAcentral.